Molecule: long non-coding RNA, 2105 nt
Organism: Oncorhynchus tshawytscha (Chinook salmon)
Lineage: Eukaryota; Metazoa; Chordata; Actinopteri; Salmoniformes; Salmonidae
Exons: 3
Source: RefSeq, a predicted model, not a curated record
CUACAGUCAGAUAUAUCUGGACUAGGGGUUGUAGGGUGUCUUGCUACAGUCAGAUAUAUCUGGACUAGGGGUUGUAGGGAGUCUUGCUACAGUCAGAUAUAUCUGGACUAGGGGUUGUAGGGUGUCUUGCUACAGUCAGAUAUAUCUGGACUAGGGGUUGUAGAGUGUCUUGCUACAGUCAGAUAUAUCUGGACUAGGGGUUGUAGGGAGUCUUGCUACAGUCAGAUAUAUCUGGACUAGGGGUUGUAGGGAGUCUUGCUACAGUCAGAUAUAUCUGGACUAGGGGUUGUAGGGUAAAUGAGGGGCUGUACUGUAGAGGCAGAGAGGAGAGAGCCUUUCCAAGGUUAGUGUCCCCACCCCCACACUGCAGAUAGCAGUCUUUAACAGAUAAUGUAGGAAUGAAUUUGCCUCAUCGCCCAGAGAAACACAACAGAGCAUUCAAAGUAAUUAAACGAAAAAAGAUCACCUUGGAUCCAAAGAAGGUGAAUAGAUUUCAGGAUGGGGCAGAAUGAUACAAAGAUAAAAACAAUUGAAUAGCAAAGGUAUGGAGAAACAAUUAGAAGGAAAGCUAAUCAAACUCUCAGUGCUCUUUGGCAGAAGCUGUUGUCUUGGAAUGGGGUGCCCUUGCAUGUUGCUAUAACAAUGGAGCAGCAACAUCAUUCUCAGGCGGAGGUGUGUCUCUUCUGUUUUAUUCACCUUUUCUCAAGGAAAUGGUCGACGUCUCUCUCUCUCUCUCUCUCUCUCUCUCUCUCUCUCUCUCUCUUUCAAAGUGUUUCUCCUGAUGUCUGUUAUUCCUUCCUCCCCUGGUUCCCAACACUGGGGAGGCCUGUAAUUGGCCCACAAUGUUUCAUAUCAGUACAGUUCCCUGUAAAACAAUGUGAGAUUCUAGAUUCUAGACGUGUUUGAACUGUUGUUUGUUUCUUAACACCUGUUUCCCCCACCUGUAUCCCAAUGUAAAGGAUGCAAGAUGUCUCAUCAGAAAUGAUGCCAUCUGCCAAUACGUUUUAGAGCUGUUUAUGGAUGGUCUCAGCCAUCUCAGUCUUUUCCCCUCUCCCCUACUUGCCUAUUGUAUCCUUCACAAGGUGAUUACUGCUUCACCACAAUGCAUAGUGACGCAAAGGUCCUUCUCUUUGUCUCUCUCGCUGGUUUUGGAUUGGGUGCGUGUCUAUUGCUUCGGUGACUGUUCUGGCUUUUCUGCCUGUCUGCUUGACUUAGAGGGGCCCUGGUCAAAAGUAGUGCACUUUGUAGGGAAUAGUGCGCCAGACGAUGUCUCUGGUUUCUGCUACCUCAGCUUGCCUGGUGGAAGACUGUUGGGGAGGGUAUAUGGGGUGGGGUAGUAUAGGCUCAAGGGCUUUCUGUACAGAUUGACAAGAACGUUUGGUAUUUUGUUGGUUGCGAGUGACGUUACAGGGAUGAGGGUCAAUUGGGUAGUGAUGAACCGUCCAUAUGCUUGACUAUUGGAAAGGGGGUCGGGAAGCGGUGGUCGGGAAGAUGGGGGGGGGUAACCCCUUCGCUUGUAACAUUUCGGGGUUUCUAUGACAAACAAAAAACAUCACAUUUGUUUGUGAAUUUCCAGUUGAAGUUGAUAAUGCCUGCCGUGUUUCUAGCUUUCGAACCGUCCGUUUUGUUUCAACGCUGGUUUCUUUGACAACCACAAGCCUUCUGUAUUCUUCUGUAUUCUUUGGUUCUGGUUUGUCGUCGUCGUCGUGUGGAGAUACUAUCAGAUACUGCAGCAGUGUAUUAAAUGGGUUUGACUGAAGAGCAGCUCUGACUCAGGACCACAGAUCAACCAGAUGUCAGAGGGACAUCUGCCAGGUGUUUUAGUUCAGACUUCUAGAGCAGCUCUGACUCAGGACCACAGAUCAACCAGAUGUCAGAGGGACAUCUGCCAGGUGUUUUAGUUCAGACUUCUAGAGCAGCUCUGACUCAGGACCACAGAUCAACCAGAUGUCAGAGGGACAUCUGCCAGGUGUUUUAGUUCAGACUUCUAGAGCAGCUCUGACUCAGGACCACAGAUCAACCAGAUGUCAGAGGGACACCUUCCAGGUGUUUUAGUUCAGACUUCUAGAGCAGCUCUGACUCAGGACCACAGAUCAACCAGAUGU